GUCGGUUUGAUUUUAAUUUGUUUUUCUGCCCGAUUUCGAAUUUUUAGAGAAAUAAAUUUUUUUUUUAUAUUGAAGAGAGGUAAGAUGUGAUGUAUAUAAAAAUAAUCGUACAUACAAUAUAUGUACUUCAUGAUCAAACGAUGGAAUAAAAGCACGUAUACUCCUUUGAAUAUAAGCUCGAAAUUAACGAACAAACCGGAACCCG
Molecule: long non-coding RNA, 205 nt
Filed under: Linum usitatissimum (flax)
Lineage: Eukaryota; Viridiplantae; Streptophyta; Magnoliopsida; Malpighiales; Linaceae
Description: long non-coding RNA (LUSI_LNC007904)
Source: RNAcentral